AGGUGCUGCACGGCUGUCGUCAGCUCGUGUCGUGAGAUGUUGGGUUAAGUCCCGCAACGAGCGCAACCCUCGUCCUUAGUUGCCAGCAGGUUAAGCUGGGCACUUUAAGGAGACUGCCUUCGUAAGGAGGAGGAAGGUGAGGACGACGUCAAGUCAUCAUGGCCCCUAUGGCUAGGGCUACACACGUGCUACAAUGGGGCGUACAGAGAGUUGCGAUACCGCGAGGUGGAGCCAAUCUCAUAAAGCGUCUCUCAGUUCGGAUUGAAGUCUGCAACUCGACUUCAUGAAGCUGGAAUCACUAGUAAUCGUAGAUCAGCAACGCUACGGUGAAUACGUUCCCGGGUCUUGUACUCACCGCCCGUCACACCAUGGGAGUUGAUUUCACCCGAAAUUGGGAAGCUAACCUUCGGGAAGCUACCACUUACGGUGGAAUUAGCGACUGGGGUGAAGUCGUAACAAGGUA
RNAcentral lists this ribosomal RNA (463 nucleotides) under uncultured bacterium. Its description in RNAcentral is "bacterial SSU rRNA". It matches the Rfam family "Bacterial small subunit ribosomal RNA", at positions 1036 to 1498 of the family's 1533-position model. The record is from RNAcentral.